AACGAACGCUGGCGGCAGGCUUAACACAUGCAAGUCGAACGCCCCGCAAGGGGAGUGGCAGACGGGUGAGUAACGCGUGGGAAUCUACCCAGAUCUUCGGAACAACUGAGGGAAACUUCAGCUAAUACCGGAUACGCCCUACGGGGGAAAGAUUUAUCGGUUCUGGAUGAGCCCGCGUUGGAUUAGCUAGUUGGUGGGGUAAUGGCCUACCAAGGCGACGAUCCAUAGCUGGUCUGAGAGGAUGAUCAGCCACACUGGGACUGAGACACGGCCCAGACUCCUACGGGAGGCAGCAGUGGGGAAUAUUGGACAAUGGGCGAAAGCCUGAUCCAGCCAUGCCGCGUGAGUGAUGAAGGCCUUAGGGUUGUAAAGCUCUUUCAGUAGGGAAGAUAAUGACGGUA
RNAcentral lists this ribosomal RNA (401 nucleotides) under uncultured bacterium. RNAcentral's name for it is "bacterial SSU rRNA". It matches the Rfam family "Bacterial small subunit ribosomal RNA", at positions 29 to 477 of the family's 1533-position model. The record is from RNAcentral.